GAUGAACGCUGGCGGCGUGCCUAAUACAUGCAAGUCGAACGGGGAGUCGCAAUACUCUUAGUGGCGAACGGGUGAGUAACGCGUUGGUACCUGCCCCGAAGCGGGGGAUAACGGACCGAAAGGUCCGCUAAUACCCCAUGUGCUCGGUAACGAGUAAAGGUGAAAACCACUUUGGGAGGGGCAUGCGUCCCAUCAGCUAGUUGGUAAGGUAACGGCUUACCAAGGCGAUGACGGGUAGGGGACCUGAGAGGGUGGCCCCCCACAAUGGAACUGAAACACGGUCCAUACACCUACGGGUGGCAGCAGUAGGGAAUAUUGGUAAUGGGCGCAAGCCUGAACCAGCAACGCCGCGUGUGCGAUGACGGCCUUCGGGUUGUAAAGCACUUUUGACUGGGACGAGGAAGGACGGUACCGGUCGAAUCAGCCUCGGCUAACUACGUG
Molecule: ribosomal RNA, 441 nt
Filed under: uncultured bacterium
Lineage: Bacteria
Description: partial 16S ribosomal RNA
Rfam family: Bacterial small subunit ribosomal RNA
Source: RNAcentral